Camellia sinensis is the source of this 469-nucleotide non-coding RNA. The record is from RefSeq and is a predicted model, not a curated record. NCBI's taxonomy places the organism in Eukaryota, Viridiplantae, Streptophyta, Magnoliopsida, Ericales, Theaceae.
UUCAUGGCAGCCGCAUUGGGAAUUGGGGAUGGAAUAUUCAACACACAGCUUAAUGCUUUGCUUGGGAUGCUCUUUAAGCAUGAUAUGGAAGGAGCAUUUGCACAGCUCAAGGUUUGGCAAUGUGUUUUGAUCGCAAUUGUGUUUUUUGUGAGCCCUUACAUUUCUUUGCAUGCUGUGUUAGUGGUUAUGCUUGUUGCAGUCUGCAUCUAUGUUGGCGGGUUUCUAUUCCUCACUCUUAUGGUCGAGAAAGCAUUCUCUUGUGCUGAUUGAUUUUUUGCAACUGGAUACGUAAUAAAUAUUUAUUGCCAAAACAUGUAUUAUUCACGUCUUACACAUUGAUUGCCUCAGAAAGUUGUAUCUGCCUGUGAAAUCUAUUAAAUAAGAAAAUAUGUUCACCUGUUAAUGUUUCUUCAAAAGAAAAGUAUUGAAAGGCUAAUUUGAAUGUAAUUAUCAGUAUUGUUCUUUUCUA